UACCCUGGUUGGGAAACAGUGUAAUACACUGAGCGAUCUCGGCCAUCCUGCUCAGCCCCGCCCCCUGCUGGUCAUGUGAUUACAGACUCAUAUGGAGGCCUGCUAGGGUCAGAGGAAGGACCAGAGUGCAGGGGAACAGAGGAUCCUUGUAUGGCUGGCAGGUUACACAGGUUUUGACUCUCUGGCUUGUUUUGGAUUAACCCCUUGUCUGCUGACUCAGUUGCCCAUGUGGAUCAUCCAAGUAGAUGCGAGAGUCCAGAAUAGUUGAGAUGACACCAACCUGAGAUGGUUUCGCAGCCACAUCUGUUUUACCAAGGAGGGUCCACUGGGUUUGUCUGCCCUAUUAGUUUGUCACCUGACACCUGGGUCCCUGGCAGCGAAGUCCUCCUGCCUUGAAUGGCGAAUACCCAGGAAAAACAAAGCUUGCAAGAGCACAACACGCAGCGGAAAGUCAAUAACGGAGUUGUUUUCAAGCUAGAAGAGCAACCGCUGUUGCUUUGUGUGAACCUCACAGUGUGAAGAUGACAUCUCCGCCGACUCUGUCGUCCAUAUAUGUAUCUUAGAUACUGCUAAAAUCUUCCUAAUUGUCAGGAAAUUGCGGCGCUCUUCUAAGUUGCUGUCGCUGUGAUAGUACAUCAAACGGUUGUUCUUUAUGUCUGGCCUGUCAAAAAGCAGCAGGAGCUAAUAUUUCACUCAUAUCUCUCUUCGCCUGUGUUCUCACUCUUGUUACGGGGAAUAAAGAACCCCCCGACGGAACGUAAUUAUUGCAAAGACAAGGGAAAAUUUUGUCAUUUAGUGAGAUCUUCUCAGGGUCCCGAAAUCUCUACCACAGGUACAAUGCCGAGUCUCGCAGACCGUUUGUAUUCCGUCUAUCGUCUUACCACCCUCGUGCAACAUUGUCCAGUUGUUUUGGCGCAUGGAUGACAUCAAGAAGAAAGAUUUAUGUCUGAAGAAAAAGAAACCCUCUUCUGCUGGAAAUUGAUACUGGAAAUUGUAAAGCUUCAUAGAAUCCCGGCUUAAAGUGGAAACGUCGCUUUUAUGUUGUAGACAAGUCAUUUAAGAGAUUAAACUCUUCAA
Long non-coding RNA from Hyla sarda, 1077 nucleotides. RefSeq lists it as uncharacterized. The transcript is spliced from 5 exons. Lineage: Eukaryota; Metazoa; Chordata; Amphibia; Anura; Hylidae. The record is from RefSeq and is a predicted model, not a curated record.